GUUGAAUCAUUGUGAGAGACUGUAAGGGCAGCAAAAUGAAGAUAACAACGGACACUUGGAAGAAAACAUUUGCUGUCACUGACCUUAGCAUACGGCCACAUGGCCUAGGAUCACAGCUUGGAGGUGACCUUGGGCUUCAAGUCAAAACCCUAUGAUGAAACAUGCCUUCCGGUCUUCCACCGUGAGUAUUUGAAGCACAUUCAUGGACUCACUGAACAUAUUUACCAGGCCCCUUUAAGUGCCACACAUAGCCAAGUAUUGAGAUAAAUAGGAUUUUAUUUCUUCCCCUUGGGCAUUAGAAAUGUGUCCUUAGCCACUUCCUAUCUCACCCAAAAUAAAAGGUAAACUUUGACGGUUAGGCCUUAAUAAUGAAAGGGACAUCCUGGCCUGUGGCCUGAUGUGUUCAGACAAAGGACCUGGGAAAACCUUUUCCCUCCCUCAGCAAUAGUUGAGUUGAGUGGACCAGAAGAGAAGGCACUGUAAGUGGAUACCUAGUAGAAGAUGCUGGGGGUUGCCAAGGUGAUAGCCGGGGAGCCCAGGAGACCUGCAAGGCGAUGCCAGAGAGGUCUGAGUCCAGGCCUGGGAGCACAGUUGAGCUCUGCUUUCAAGUUAUCUGGAUUCAGAUUUCAACCCCACACCCACUACAAGCGUCUUGCCCGGAACUAGCUCAUCUUCUCGGUUUCCUCAUACCUGGCAGCAGCUAAGUGCCCCAUAAAUAUAAGGUUCAAUGGUCCCUUGGGCAGUGGGUGUAACUUGAGAAUUCUUUUCUUUUCUGGGACAGGGUUUCUCUGCGUAGGCCUGGAUGUUCUGGAACUUUCUCUGUGGACUAGGCUGGCCUUGAACUCAGAGAUCUGACUGCCUCUACCUCCAGAGUGCUGGGUGGGAAUAAAGGAGUGUGUCACCUCUGCCCUCUUGAGAAUUCUAAUGAGGAAAAACAAGGUAGCUUGGUAUGGUUGAAUACACCUAUAAAUCCCAAUGCCUGGGAGACUGAGGCAGGGACAUUGCCUUCAGUUCAAGGCCAGCCUGGGCUAUAUAAUGAAACCCUGUCUC
RNAcentral lists this long non-coding RNA (1050 nucleotides) under Mus musculus (house mouse). RNAcentral's name for it is "long non-coding RNA chr12:102440722-102441772". The record is from RNAcentral. Lineage: Eukaryota; Metazoa; Chordata; Mammalia; Rodentia; Muridae.